AUUGAACGCUGGCGGCAGGCCUAACACAUGCAAGUCGAACGGUAACAGGAAACAGCUUGCUGUUUCGCUGACGAGUGGCGGACGGGUGAGUAAUGUCUGGGAAACUGCCUGAUGGAGGGGGAUAACUACUGGAAACGGUAGCUAAUACCGCAUAACGUCGCAAGACCAAAGAGGGGGACCCUCGGGCCUCUUGCCAUCGGAUGUGCCCAGAUGGGAUUAGUUUGUUGGUGGGGUAACGGCUCACCAAGGCGACGAUCCCUACCUGGUCUGAGAGGAUGACCGGCCACACUGGAACUGAGACACGAUCCAGACUCCUACGGGAGGCAGCAGUGGGGAAUAUUGCACAAUGGGCGCAAGCCUGAUGCAGCCAUGCCGCGUGUAUGAAGAAGGCCUUCGGGUUGUAAAGUACUUUCAGCGGGGAGGAAGGGAGUAAAGUUAAUACCUUGGCUGAUUGACGUUACCCGCAGAAGAAGCACCGGCUAACUCCGUG
RNAcentral lists this ribosomal RNA (490 nucleotides) under uncultured bacterium. RNAcentral's name for it is "partial 16S ribosomal RNA". It matches the Rfam family "Bacterial small subunit ribosomal RNA", at positions 30 to 507 of the family's 1533-position model. The record is from RNAcentral.